UAGGGAAUCUUCCGCAAUGGGCGAAAGCCUGACGGAGCAACGCCGCGUGAGUGAUGAAGGUCUUCGGAUCGUACAACUCUGUUAUUAGGGAAGAACAAAUGUGUAAGUAACUAUGCACGUCUUGACGGUACCUAAUCAGAAAGCCACGGCUAACUACGUGCCAGCAGCCGCGGUAAUACGUAGGUGGCAAGCGUUAUCCGGAAUUAUUGGGCGUAAAGCGCGCGUAGGCGGUUUUUUAAGUCUGAUGUGAAAGCCCACGGCUCAACCGUGGAGGGUCAUUGGAAACUGGAAAACUUGAGUGCAGAAGAGGAAAGUGGAAUUCCAUGUGUAGCGGUGAAAUGCGCAGAGAUAUGGAGGAACACCAGUGGCGAAGGCGACUUUCUGGUCUGUAACUGACGCUGAUGUGCGAAAGCGUGGGGAUCAAACAGG
Molecule: ribosomal RNA, 429 nt
Filed under: Actinomycetes bacterium
Lineage: Bacteria; Bacillati; Actinomycetota; Actinomycetes
Description: Actinobacteria bacterium partial 16S ribosomal RNA
Rfam family: Bacterial small subunit ribosomal RNA
Source: RNAcentral